AUACGUAGGGUGCGAGCGUUGUCCGGAAUUAUUGGGCGUAAAGGGCUCGUAGGCGGUUUGUCGCGUCGGGAGUGAAAACCCCAGGCUUAACUUGGGGCUUGCUUUCGAUACGGGCAGACUUGAGGCAUGCAGGGGAGAACGGAAUUCCUGGUGUAGCGGUGAAAUGCGCAGAUAUCAGGAGGAACACCGGUGGCGAAGGCGGUUCUCUGGGCAUGUUCUGACGCUGAGGAGCGAAAGUGUGGGGAGCGAACAGGA
RNAcentral lists this ribosomal RNA (255 nucleotides) under uncultured prokaryote. Its description in RNAcentral is "partial 16S ribosomal RNA". It matches the Rfam family "Bacterial small subunit ribosomal RNA", at positions 523 to 777 of the family's 1533-position model. The record is from RNAcentral.